Molecule: microRNA precursor, 204 nt
Organism: Oryza sativa Japonica Group (Japanese rice)
Lineage: Eukaryota; Viridiplantae; Streptophyta; Magnoliopsida; Poales; Poaceae
Rfam family: MIR812 microRNA precursor family
Source: Rfam
AAAAAAGACAAACCCGGAUUUCCGUGUCCAACGUUUUACUGUUUGUCUUAUAUGAAUUUUUUUAUAAUUAGUAUUUUUAUUAUUGUUAGAUGAUAAAACAUGAUUAAUACUUUAUGCAUGACUUAUCUUUUUAUUUUUUUCAUAUUUUUUUCAAAUAAGACGGACGAUCAAACUUGGACACGGAAACCCAGGGUUUGCCUUUUU